RNAcentral lists this unclassified non-coding RNA (190 nucleotides) under Glomeraceae sp. RNAcentral describes it as "partial contains 5.8S ribosomal RNA and internal transcribed spacer 2". The stretch from base 1 to 71 matches the Rfam family "5.8S ribosomal RNA", at positions 84 to 154 of the family's 154-position model. The record is from RNAcentral. Lineage: Eukaryota; Fungi; Glomeromycota; Glomeromycetes; Glomerales; Glomeraceae.
GUGAAUCAUCAAAUUUUUGAACGCAAAUUGCGCUUCCUGGCAUCCCGGGAAGUAUGCCUGUUUGAGGGUCAGUAUUAAUAAAAAAUCGGUUUAGUUACAAAUUGUGACGUUUCCGGAGUUUGGGCUAUCUUAACAUUUUUGGUUAAGAGGCUCCCAACUCCCCUUCUCUGCCCACCUCUCCACGUACCUA